UACGUAGGGUGCGAGCGUUGUCCGGAAUUACUGGGCGUAAAGAGCUCGUAGGUGGUUUGUCGCGUUGUUCGUGAAAACUCACAGCUUAACUGUGGGCGUGCGGGCGAUACGGGCAGACUGGAGUACUGCAGGGGAGACUGGAAUUCCUGGUGUAGCGGUGGAAUGCGCAGAUAUCAGGAGGAACACCAGUGGCGAAGGCGAGUCUCUGGACGACUCCUGACACUGAGGCACGAAAGCUGGGGGAGCAAACAGG
This 253-nucleotide ribosomal RNA is filed under the name uncultured bacterium. Its description in RNAcentral is "partial 16S ribosomal RNA". It matches the Rfam family "Bacterial small subunit ribosomal RNA", at positions 524 to 776 of the family's 1533-position model. The record is from RNAcentral.